Molecule: unclassified non-coding RNA, 230 nt
Filed under: Hevea brasiliensis (rubber tree)
Lineage: Eukaryota; Viridiplantae; Streptophyta; Magnoliopsida; Malpighiales; Euphorbiaceae
Source: RNAcentral
GCUAAAAGGCUCCAGCACAAAACUGUCGCUGCAUAUAAGAAUAUAGGUGUGUGAUAUACAAUGAGUUUUAGCUUAGUUGUAUAACAUUCAUAUGUAGAACCCUUCGGGUUCGAGUUGAAUUCUUGUAAGUGUGAAAUGAAAAUAUAUAUAUAUAGAGGGAGAGGGAUGAAUACCAUUGAUGAUAAUGGGUGUAAUGGUGGCCGGAAAGCUGUGUAAUCAUAUAAUAUUAG